UACAGAGGGUGCAAGCGUUAAUCGGAAUCACUGGGCGUAAAGGGCGCGCAGGCGGUUAGAUAGGUGAUAGGUGAAAGACCUGGGCUUAACCCGGGGGCGUCCUAUCAAACGGUUUAACUAGAGUGAGAGAGAGGGGAGUGGAAUUUCCGGUGUAGCAGUGAAAUGCGUAGAGAUCGGAAUGAACAUUCGUGGCGAAGGCGGCUCCCUGGCUCUACACUGACGCUCAGGCGCGAAGGCAUGGGGAGCAAACAGG
Molecule: ribosomal RNA, 253 nt
Filed under: uncultured bacterium
Lineage: Bacteria
Description: partial 16S ribosomal RNA
Rfam family: Bacterial small subunit ribosomal RNA
Source: RNAcentral